GAAGAAAUGGCUCAGCAGUUAAGAGCACUGGCUGCUUUUCCAGAGGACUUGGGUUCAAUUCCCAGUACCCACA
RNAcentral lists this transfer RNA (73 nucleotides) under Neotoma lepida (desert woodrat). It matches the Rfam family "tRNA". From Rfam's summary of the family: Transfer RNA (tRNA) molecules are approximately 80 nucleotides in length. Their secondary structure includes four short double-helical elements and three loops (D, anti-codon, and T loops). Further hydrogen bonds mediate the characteristic L-shaped molecular structure. tRNAs have two regions of fundamental functional importance: the anti-codon, which is responsible for specific mRNA codon recognition, and the 3' end, to which the tRNAs corresponding amino acid is attached (by aminoacyl-tRNA synthetases). tRNAs cope with the degeneracy of the genetic code in two manners: having more than one tRNA (with a specific anti-codon) for a particular amino acid; and 'wobble' base-pairing, i.e. permitting non-standard base-pairing at the 3rd anti-codon position. Lineage: Eukaryota; Metazoa; Chordata; Mammalia; Rodentia; Cricetidae. The record is from Rfam by way of RNAcentral.